Molecule: ribosomal RNA, 97 nt
Filed under: uncultured bacterium
Lineage: Bacteria
Description: partial 16S ribosomal RNA
Rfam family: Bacterial small subunit ribosomal RNA
Source: RNAcentral
CACCGCCCGUCACACCACGAAAGCAAGCAACACCCGAAGUCGGUGAGCUAACUCGCGAAGAGAGGCAGCCGCCGAAGGUGGGCUCGUGAUUGGGGUG